Molecule: non-coding RNA, 120 nt
Filed under: human gut metagenome
Description: FMN riboswitch (RFN element)
Rfam family: FMN riboswitch aptamer (RFN element)
About the family: The RFN element is a highly conserved domain that is found frequently in the 5'-untranslated regions of prokaryotic mRNAs that encode for flavin mononucleotide (FMN) biosynthesis and transport proteins. This element is a metabolite-dependent riboswitch that directly binds FMN in the absence of proteins.
Source: RNAcentral
UUCUUCGGGGCGGGGCGUAAUUCCCCACCGGCGGUAUAGUCCGCGACCUGUCAUGGACCCCCAUGGCGGCUGAUCUGGUGCAAUUCCAGAACCGACAGUAUAGUCUGGAUGAGAGAAGGA